This 1202-nucleotide unclassified non-coding RNA is filed under the name Drosophila ananassae. RNAcentral describes it as "GF23163". Lineage: Eukaryota; Metazoa; Arthropoda; Insecta; Diptera; Drosophilidae. The record is from RNAcentral.
CUUUUUGUAGAUUGGUGCGCAUUUCACAAGUUUACAAAUAAAACGGAUGUUUCUUUUAAGAAAAGAUGCAUCAGAUACUAAGUAAGUUGGCUCUACUGAUGAGCAUCCUACACGUUGAAGGACUUUUCUUUCACAUAAGGGGGAUGGAGCGAAAAUGCUUUAAAACGGAGACACCGGAAGAUACAAAUCUAAUAGUUAACUAUAAGGUGGAGGAGUAUGAUCCCCCAUCCAAUAAUUGUACGCGGCUUCCGAAAAAUUAUGAACUGCAUAUAGAAGUAACAGAUAACGACGACAAAAUUUUUUUAAGCCGCGAUUAUCCGGCAGAGAGUCGAAUCACCUUCACGGUAUUUCGAGAAGGCGAUACUUCUAUCUGUCUAAGUUCCAAGAAUCCCAACAAGUUCAAAUGGCUUCGUGUUCACUUGGACAUCCAGGCAAAGACGAGCAACGAGAAUACAUUGAAAGAACGUAAGAUGGACACCAUGCUGUUGCGUGUAAGGCAGCUUUUGGACCAGGCCGAGCAGAUCAAAAAGGAGCAAAACUAUCUGCGCUAUCGGGAAUUCAAUUUUCAAUAAUUAGUGAGGAUAUUUAUUCUAGUGUGUUUUUUUGGUCGUUGCUUCAAGUCUCGAUGCUGGUAUGCAUCUGGAUUUUUGUUUCUGCUCGCGUAAGUCAGCAAUCUGUUAUGUACGGGGUGUUCUGUAAACUUAUCCAUGAAAAGGAGCUUUCCAAGGUAAUUAACGGUCCAACGCCUAUUUUUCAUAACAUUUUUCAUAAUUUCUAAAAUGGGCAUUCCCUUUGGUCAACUCUUAUAUACUCAUUUAGAAUUCAAAAGUUCAGGACGAGAAGAGCUUACUGUACAUUAAUGGAAAUCAUCGGGCCGCAGGGGCAACAUCUAUCUGGCAGCGAAAUUUCGCAGUGGAUCAAACAAGUUGCAGAUUCUGAAAAAGCAGAACAUUUUGACGAAAGCGAUUUAAUCUCUAUCACCGAAAAACUUCAGACAAAAGUUAAAGAAUUUGCGGAUUUGCUCAAGGGUCCAAUACCAGUUUCCCAAAACAAUCCUACUGACAAACACUUGAAAGCCAAUUUAUCCCUUUUAUUGGCCACCGCCGAACAAAAUCGGGGUAAUAACAUCAAAUGCAACGGAGUUCUAAUGACCUGCGACUGCAAAGAUUGCACUCCUAAGGAGCAAAGAAAACAACUUGUCA